AUUGAACGCUGGAGGCGUGCUUAACACAUGCAAGUCGUGCGAGAAAGGGGCUUCGGUCCUGAGUAGAGCGGCGCACGGGUGAGUAACGCGUGGGUGAUCUCCCUUGGUGAUCGGGAUAACAGCGGGAAACUGCUGCUAAUACUGAAUAAUCUUCAUGUUUAACUUCAUGGGGUAAAGGUGGCCUCUGCUUGCAAGCUACCACACCGAGAUGAGCCCGCGUCUCAUUAGCUAGUUGGUAGGGUAAUGGCCUACCAAGGCUACGAUGAGUAGCUGGUCUGAGAGGAUGACCAGCCACACUGGGACUGGAACACGGCCCAGACUCCUACGGGAGGCAGCAGUGGGGAAUAUUGCGCAAUGGGCGAAAGCCUGACGCAGCGACGCCUCGUGAGGGAUGAAGGUCUUCGGAUCGUAAACCUCUGUCAAGAGGGAAGAAACCAUUGGAGUCGAAUAGGCUUCUUUGCUGACGGUACCUCAAAAGGAAGCACCGGCUAACUCCGUG
Molecule: ribosomal RNA, 499 nt
Filed under: uncultured bacterium
Lineage: Bacteria
Description: bacterial SSU rRNA
Rfam family: Bacterial small subunit ribosomal RNA
Source: RNAcentral